UACAGAGGUCCCGAGCGUUGUUCGGAUUCACUGGGCGUAAAGGGUGCGUAGGUGGCCUGAAAAGUUUGAUGUGAGAGCUCAGGGCUUAACCCUGAAAUGGCAUUGAAUACUGUUGGGCUGGAGGUUUGGAGGGGGGACUGGAAUUCUUGGUGUAGCAGUGAAAUGCGUAGAUAUCAAGAGGAACACCAGUGGCGAAGGCGAGUCCCUGGACAACACCUGACACUGAGGCACGAAAGCUAGGGGAGCAAACAGG
This 253-nucleotide ribosomal RNA is filed under the name uncultured bacterium. RNAcentral describes it as "partial 16S ribosomal RNA". It matches the Rfam family "Bacterial small subunit ribosomal RNA", at positions 524 to 776 of the family's 1533-position model. The record is from RNAcentral.